RNAcentral lists this transfer RNA (77 nucleotides) under Zetaproteobacteria bacterium. Its description in RNAcentral is "tRNA-Arg". It matches the Rfam family "tRNA". From Rfam's summary of the family: Transfer RNA (tRNA) molecules are approximately 80 nucleotides in length. Lineage: Bacteria; Pseudomonadati; Pseudomonadota; Candidatius Mariprofundia. The record is from RNAcentral.
GCGCCCUUAGCUCAACUGGAUAGAGCACCUGCCUUCUAAGCAGGGGGUUACAGGUUCGAUUCCUGUAGGGCGCACCA